UACGGGGGGGGCAAGCGUUGUUCGGAAUUACUGGGCGUAAAGGGCUCGUAGGCGGCCAACUAAGUCGGACGUGAAAUCCCUCGGCUUAACCGGGGAACUGCGUCCGAUACUGGAUGGCUUGAGUUCGGGAGAGGGAUGCGGAAUUCCAGGUGUAGCGGUGAAGUGCGUAGAUAUCUGGAGGAACACCGGUGGCGAAGGCGGCAUCCUGGACCGACACUGACGCUGAGGAGCGAAAGCCAGGGGAGCAAACGGG
Molecule: ribosomal RNA, 253 nt
Filed under: uncultured bacterium
Lineage: Bacteria
Description: partial 16S ribosomal RNA
Rfam family: Bacterial small subunit ribosomal RNA
Source: RNAcentral